UGAUCUCUGAAGAAAUAAAAAGAAUGCCAUUUAUAUGCAAAUCUCCUUAAAGGUGAUGAAGGAGAGUGAAGAGACACUGGGCUGAAAGGAAUGAAAGAGACUUGAAAAGAUUAUACCUCCUGAGAAUUCCAUGGACCUUUUACUCUAGCUGCUAGUUGAUUUGAUUCCUCUGAAUGCAGACCUCAACACUGAUUUCUCAGGUUUUAGAGAAUGAUCAAAAGGAAACAUGCAAAUAAAUUAACCUACAAAUUCUGUCAAAGAAAAAUUAUAAUAGGCAGAAGUAAGCCGGCAGGGAAGACUCCCUUCAAGGCUACUGCAGUUGAGGAGAAACUAAACUUAAUUCCAUUCCAAACAGAGGUCUCACCUUCCAACAGAUCUGGAAGAUGAGGAAGCUGACUCCUGCAAAGAUUCCAUCUCAGAGGGCCAGCUCCCAGGACCUUGACAAAGACAACAGCACACCCAUUUCAAAACUAGCCAGAAGUUUGGAAGAUAUUUAAUCUGUAUUUUGGCUGGCAGAGAAAUAAUUUGUGCCUGAACUUCACCCACCCUGAGGCUGAGAGUGCAUAAAUAAUCUCUUCUAAAGGGAUAAUCAUAGGAAUAAGAUGACUAUAGG
This is a long non-coding RNA of Chinchilla lanigera (long-tailed chinchilla), 613 nucleotides long. RefSeq lists it as uncharacterized. NCBI's taxonomy places the organism in Eukaryota, Metazoa, Chordata, Mammalia, Rodentia, Chinchillidae. The transcript is spliced from 4 exons. The record is from RefSeq and is a predicted model, not a curated record.